GUAUGUGUGCAUGUGUUUGUAUGUGUGUGUGUAUGUAUGAGCUUGUUGUAUUCAUAUACAGGCGCACUAGCCUAUUCAUGCCCAUGGUAGAGACUAAAAGGUGUCUUCCUCUACCCCUUUCCACCUUAUCUUUUUCACAAGGUCUUUUGCUAAACUAGAGCUCACAGUGUUAGACACACUGACCAGUCUCUCUCCAGAGCCCACUGUGCUUCGAUGAAUGUGCUGCCAUCUCCAGCUUUCAUCCGGUUCUCUCCAGGGCCUCAUUAGCAUUCUCGUCAUCUGCCAAAGUCGGCUCUUCCUUGGCAAGAACAAAGCAGAACCUUCAUCUUAUCUGCAGGAGAACACCAGGGUUCAGUUUCCUCUGUUCACUUGAUGCUGAGAAGAGCCUCAGUCCAGGGCACUGUGCCAGCUUGUGCUAAAAACCAGCCUAGGAGCUUCGAGCAGCAACCUGAGCGGCCUGUGGAGCCAGGCUGCAUUCCCAGCUGCAAACAGCCCUGCAAAAUGACUCCGAGGAGGAGGUUGGAGAAAGGAGUGCACCGUGACCAGAUUAGCAACUGUGGGUAUUCACCUGAGCAAAAGGUCAGGAUUCAAAGAUGGAGGACCUCUGCCUUCUAGUAGUCAGAACACUGUGUUUUUCUCAUCUGUAGGGUGGGAAGCCCAUUAAGCUCUCUCUUUUCUCACAACACAGGGCUGUUGUGAGGAUGGUGAUGAAGUAAACAGGGCUGUGGUAAGCAGAGCAUCCUGAAGUAGAGACAUGUAUGCCUCACCUUGAGCCAGCUGAGAAGCAGAGAAGGGAAAACAGGAAGGGACCAGGCCAAGAUGUAAGGCCACGCCCCCACGGGCCUGCUUCCUCUUAUCAGCCCUCACUUCCUGCCUUUUGCGGUCACCGAAUACUGCUGCCACAUUGUGACUCCAUAAGGAGUGAAAUAGCGUCUCGUCUCGGCCUUUUAGCUAAGAUCAUGUGUAACAUCAGGAGUGAAUCCAUUGAUUGGGUCAGGAUCCCCAGGAUCCGGUCACUUCCCCAAAGUCCCUAGUCAUUUUUCUAUUGCUGUAAUAAAACGCCCUAACCAAAGAAGACGUUUAAUUUUUCUUAGUUCCAGAGAAUGAGAGAGGCUACAGUGAGGGAGCAGAAGAGCUGAGAAUUCAAAUCUCGAUCCACAAGCAGGAGGCAGAAAGUGCACUGGAGCGUCAAAGCCCUCGGCAGCAGCACUUUCCCAACAAACCCGUACC
RNAcentral lists this small RNA (1230 nucleotides) under Rattus norvegicus (Norway rat). RNAcentral describes it as "uncharacterized LOC108351731". The record is from RNAcentral. Lineage: Eukaryota; Metazoa; Chordata; Mammalia; Rodentia; Muridae.